GUGGAAAAAAACCUGCAGACUUAUUUGAUUUACAUAAACCGGGGGUGACACAAACGACGGAAAUCUGAAAUUAUGCAAACGGAAGGAAAUUUCUAGGACAACGGACUUGGACGACAAACUUAAGGACAAAAUGGUGGAAUUCUCGUGAAAAUCUGCAAGAAAAUUAAUGAUUGCACCAAUUGAAAUAUGGAGGAAUGCUACUAAUGAGGAUAAUUUGGACUGGGGGAAAAAAAAACUAGCCGGAAAAUGGAUGGACUGGAUGAAAACAAACUUUCUCUAGGAGGCUGAUUAACAAAUGAGGACGGAGAACUAUCAGCGGAAAAACAACAAUCAUAUUCACAAGUAGAACACUAAGAG
RNAcentral lists this long non-coding RNA (357 nucleotides) under Aedes aegypti (yellow fever mosquito). RNAcentral's name for it is "lncRNA AAEL023177". Lineage: Eukaryota; Metazoa; Arthropoda; Insecta; Diptera; Culicidae. The record is from RNAcentral.